UACAGAGGGUGCAAGCGUUGUCCGGAUUUAUUGGGCGUAAAGAGCGUGUAGGCGGUUAUACAGGUCCGCUGUGAAAACUCGAGGCUCAACCUCGAGACGUCGGUUGAAACCGUCUGGCUAGAGUCCGGAAGAGGAGAGUGGAAUUCCCGGUGUAGCGGUGAAAUGCGCAGAUAUCGGGAAGAACACCCGUGGCGAAGGCGGCUCUCUGGGACGGUACUGACGCUGAGACGCGAAAGCGUGGGGAGCGAACAGG
RNAcentral lists this ribosomal RNA (253 nucleotides) under uncultured bacterium. RNAcentral's name for it is "partial 16S ribosomal RNA". It matches the Rfam family "Bacterial small subunit ribosomal RNA", at positions 524 to 776 of the family's 1533-position model. The record is from RNAcentral.